RNAcentral lists this small nucleolar RNA (115 nucleotides) under Cervus hanglu yarkandensis (Yarkand deer). RNAcentral describes it as "Small nucleolar RNA SNORA70 (ENSCHYG00000022291.1)". It matches the Rfam family "Small nucleolar RNA SNORA70". Rfam says of the family: snoRNA U70 seems to be exclusive to mammals and is a member of the H/ACA class of snoRNA which contain H (ANANNA) and ACA box motifs. The record is from Rfam by way of RNAcentral. Lineage: Eukaryota; Metazoa; Chordata; Mammalia; Artiodactyla; Cervidae.
UUGCAGCCAAUUAAGCUGACCAGCGCUUUUCUCCCCGUGGGGUCCUGGUAUGCGAUUGCCGCAAACAGCAGCCUGUUGCCUGCGUAAGCUGCCCUAAGAGAAAGUGGAGACAGCC